UUAGGUUGGCAGUCUGAGCCCCUUUUUGUGCUCCUUCGUAGCUAUGUUUCCCAUUUUUUCUUUUGCCAGGGCAGCUCCGCUAGUGAUAGCAGCAGUGGAAACCCUGGUGCAAACCCUGGUGCGAAGGUUUCUUUCAUCACUGGUGAUUUUCCCAGCGUGACCUGCCGGUCUUGCUGCCCCCGUUGCACUCACCCAGUUAGUCUGCCAGGGGCCGCUGGGGCCRGCUGCUCAGAGGGUGGCAGCACGGUCCUCAAGGCACCGCUGUGGCAAUGCCGGCGCGUCCCCCUCGCAACACCGUCCCCUGGCAGAGGUGUCCUUAACGCUGCCUUCCACGUCUCCUGUGCAGGCACAUCCCCUCCCUGGCUGUCUCCUGGGCAACCCAAACCAGGGAGGCUGCCCCUCACAACUGCACCACGCUCCUGCUCAGCUGCAGAAAGGCAGUGGCUGCGGGCCAGGCCAGCAGGCGCUCGGAGACCUUGCCACGUCCACAGGCGGACCUUGAACAGGGCAGUGCUGCAACCCUGCCGUGCUCCGAACGCAGAUGGUGCCGUGGGCCAGUGGCUGCUGCGUUGCCCCCCUGUGUGUCCGUGCUCACCAGCGGUGUCUUGCAGAUGUGACGGGCUGGGCCACUAUGCCAGCAUCAGGCCGACUCAAUUGACACAAUCGCCUGAAAAGCCAGCUGUAAAAAACAAGGGAAAUGAGACAAAGGAUUAGGCUUACAGCACAACUGGAAAACCACUGUGCACCAAAGAGAGGCUAAGGAGUGAGGAUCUGAAUUUCUGCAAAUUAUCUCAGAAAAGGCCUAAGUCUUGCAGGUUUCCACCAGAAGUCUGUGUCUGGGCAACAGCCUAGAACCAAGGAGAUCGAGCAUCCCCGCUGACUCUUCAUGUUUUGCAGCCUUCCCCCCCCCCCCCAUCAGUAUGAUCUAGUCACUGGAUCUUGGUUCAGGAGAUGAUGGUCCUGGCUUUGCCAUUGAAUUGCUGGGUUCCUUGUGAAUAGCCAUGUAACCUAGCUGUGUUUCUCCUUUCACCUUUUAUCCAUUUUAUCUGUGGAGAUGUAAUCUCAAUCCAAAGAGGUUGUCUCUUACUAUAAGUUUUUCAAGAGCAAUUGAAGCCUACAAGUGCACCAUCAAAUACAGCAAGAUUAACUGAUACUUGAUCCACACUUGUCUGGAGCGUUCACAUUUAGUAGCUGUUCUACAUGUGGGGCUGCCUUGCGUUAGCUGGUCUUAUUACUCC
Molecule: long non-coding RNA, 1238 nt
Filed under: Apteryx rowi (Okarito brown kiwi)
Lineage: Eukaryota; Metazoa; Chordata; Aves; Apterygiformes; Apterygidae
Description: lncRNA (ENSARWG00000011679.1)
Source: RNAcentral